Molecule: ribosomal RNA, 499 nt
Filed under: uncultured bacterium
Lineage: Bacteria
Description: bacterial SSU rRNA
Rfam family: Bacterial small subunit ribosomal RNA
Source: RNAcentral
GAUCAUGGCUCAGAUUGAACGCUGGCGGCAUGCCUUACACAUGCAAGUCGAACGGCAGCACGGGAGCUUGCUCCUGGUGGCGAGUGGCGAACGGGUGAGUAAUACAUCGGAACGUACCCUGAAGUGGGGGAUAACGUAGCGAAAGUUACGCUAAUACCGCAUAUUCUGUGAGCAGGAAAGAGGGGGAUCGCAAGACCUCUUGCUUUAGGAGCGGCCGAUGUCGGAUUAGCUAGUUGGUGAGGUAAAGGCUCACCAAGGCGACGAUCCGUAGCGGGUCUGAGAGGAUGAUCCGCCACACUGGGACUGAGACACGGCCCAGACUCCUACGGGAGGCAGCAGUGGGGAAUUUUGGACAAUGGGCGCAAGCCUGAUCCAGCCAUGCCGCGUGAGUGAAGAAGGCCUUCGGGUUGUAAAGCUCUUUCGGUGGGGAAGAAAUUGCUUCGGUUAAUACCUGGAGUAGAUGACGGUACCUGCAGAAGAAGCACCGGCUAACUACGUG